CAGCAGUCGCCACGGUAAUACGUAGGUCCCGAGCGUUGUCCGGAUUUAUUGGGCGUAAAGGGAGCGCAGGCGGUUUAGUAAGUCUGAAGUUAAAGGCAUUGGCUCAACCAAUGUAUGCUUUGGAAACUGUUAGACUUGAGUGCAGAAGGGGAGAGUGGAAUUCCAUGUGUAGCGGUGAAAUGCGUAGAUAUAUGGGGGAACACCGGUGGCGAAAGCGGCUCUCUGGUCUGUAACUGACGCUGAGGCGCGAAAGCGUGGGGAGCAAACAGGAUUAGAUACCCCGGUAGUCCCUGUCUCUUAUACA
RNAcentral lists this ribosomal RNA (304 nucleotides) under uncultured bacterium. RNAcentral's name for it is "partial 16S ribosomal RNA". It matches the Rfam family "Bacterial small subunit ribosomal RNA", at positions 506 to 808 of the family's 1533-position model. The record is from RNAcentral.